This 627-nucleotide long non-coding RNA is filed under the name Oryctolagus cuniculus (rabbit). RNAcentral describes it as "lncRNA (ENSOCUG00000033349.1)". Lineage: Eukaryota; Metazoa; Chordata; Mammalia; Lagomorpha; Leporidae. The record is from RNAcentral.
CCCCGCUACUGAGCACGCGCAACGUCCCUACAGAUGCAGCCAAUCAGAAUCCGCCCUGUACUAGGCCAGCAGCUUGCGUGCGGUUGUGCCGUGUGAAGCCCGAGUGAGUGACAGGGUUUGAGUUCAGAGCCUCCGCCUCCUUGGCCCAGAACCUCCCUACAGCUGGGGUGCCUCAGCUUCCUGGUGGUCUCGCCUGCUGGGAUCCAGUCCUACCUGCUGUGCCCAUGCACUGCUGGGAGAUCGGGAUCUGGAGCUUGGAGUUACCUGCUGUGGUCCUACAGUUAACAGCUACAAACUGGAUAUCCUGAGACAAGUCACUCUAUACAUAUUUGCUGAAGAUGAUUUGCUGGUAGGAAAUGCUAAUAGAAGACAGUUUUCAAGCAACUAUGAAGAUACCAGUACCAGCAACUUCACAUUUUAAAAUCCACAAAUUUACAAUGAUGGAGGCAAAACUGUCUGUCAUCUCACUCUUACACAAGGUUUAUUCUGCUAGAUUUAUUAUCCGGACACAGAGAGAAGAGCUCCGACAUAACUCAUCCAAAAGCUAGAAUGGAAAAUAAUUGUUUCCUGUCUUGCACUCCAUCAUGCCACAUCUUUCAAUAAAAUAGUGAAAGAGGUACUAAAUCA